This 497-nucleotide ribosomal RNA is filed under the name uncultured bacterium. Its description in RNAcentral is "partial 16S ribosomal RNA". It matches the Rfam family "Bacterial small subunit ribosomal RNA", at positions 28 to 507 of the family's 1533-position model. The record is from RNAcentral.
GAUGAACGCUGGCGGCGUGCCUAAUACAUGCAAGUCGAGCGAACAGACGAGGAGCUUGCUCCUCUGACGUUAGCGGCGGACGGGUGAGUAACACGUGGAUAACCUACCUAUAAGACUGGGAUAACUUCGGGAAACCGGAGCUAAUACCGGAUAAUAUAUUGAACCGCAUGGUUCAAUAGUGAAAGACGGCUUUGCUGUCACUUAUAGAUGGAUCCGCGCCGCAUUAGCUAGUUGGUAAGGUAACGGCUUACCAAGGCGACGAUGCGUGGCCGACCUGAGAGGGUGAUCGGCCACACUAGAACUGGGACACGGUCCAGACUCCUACGGGAGGCAGCAGUAGGGAAUCUUCCGCAGUGGGCGAAAGCCUGACGGAGCAACGCCGCGUGAGUGAUGAAGGUCUUCGGAUCGUAAAACUCUGUUAUUAGGGAAGAACAAAUGUGUAAGUAACUAUGCACGUCUUGACGGUACCUAAUCAGAAAGCCACGGCUAACUACGUG